UACGGAGGGUGCAAACGUUGCUCGGAAUCAUUGGGCGUAAAGCGAACGUAGGCGGCUAUGUAAGUCGGGUGUGAAAGCCCUCGGCUCAACCGAGGAAGUGCAUUCGAAACUGCAUGGCUUGAGUAUCGGAGAGGAUAGCGGAAUUCCCGGUGUAGAGGUGAAAAUUCGUAGAUAUCGGGAGGAACACCAGUGGCGAAGGCGGCUAUCUGGACGAAUACUGACGCUGAAGUUCGAAAGCGUGGGGAGCAAACAGG
Molecule: ribosomal RNA, 254 nt
Filed under: uncultured bacterium
Lineage: Bacteria
Description: partial 16S ribosomal RNA
Rfam family: Bacterial small subunit ribosomal RNA
Source: RNAcentral